Molecule: ribosomal RNA, 714 nt
Filed under: Triticum aestivum (bread wheat)
Lineage: Eukaryota; Viridiplantae; Streptophyta; Magnoliopsida; Poales; Poaceae
Description: partial small subunit ribosomal RNA
Source: RNAcentral
AUGACCUGCGUCCGUUCGGUCAGAUAUGCAGUUAAAUUGAAUGGGGAAGUGUUGGAACCAUUUUAUCCUUCGAGGGGGCUUCGUCAGGGAGACCCCUUAAGCCCGUACCUUUUUCUGUUUGUUGCUGAAGGUUUAUCCCGCGCACUUGAAGCAGAAUGCAAUGCGUCGAACAUUACUCCCCUGAAGGUUGCAAAAGAAGCUCCAGGAAUUUCACAUUUGUUGUUUGCUGAUGAUAGCUUGCUUUUCUUUAAAGCGGAAGGGGGACAAGCAAAGAGUGUUAAGUCUGCCCUAAAUGUUUUCCAGAGAGGUACGGGCCAACUUUUGAGUCCUAGUAAGUGCUCGAUCCUUUUUAGUAGCACCUGCCCAGAGGAAAUCCAGGAAGAGGUCUUAAAUACCCUGGAUCUCACAUCUUCUACUUUUGAGGAAAAGUACCUUGGCCUCCCUACACCGGAAGGAAGGAUGAAAGAAUCUCAUUUCCAACCAAUCUUUGAGAGGUUCACGAAGAGACUUACUGAUUGGUCAGAAAGAUUCAUGUCAUAUGGUGCAAAAGAUAUCCUGAUAAAGUCUGUUGCCCAAGCUUUACCCACUUAUACCAUGAGUAUUUUCAAGAUGAGUGCAGGUUUUUGUGAUAAAUAUGAAAAGUUGGUGAGAGACUUCUGGUGGGGAGACAAGAAGAAUAAAAGAAAGGUACAUUGGAUGUCCUGGGAAAAAUGA